This 253-nucleotide ribosomal RNA is filed under the name uncultured bacterium. RNAcentral's name for it is "partial 16S ribosomal RNA". It matches the Rfam family "Bacterial small subunit ribosomal RNA", at positions 524 to 776 of the family's 1533-position model. The record is from RNAcentral.
UACGUAGGGGGCAAGCGUUGUCCGGAAUCAUUGGGCGUAAAGAGCGUGUAGGCGGUUCGGUAAGUCGGCUGUGAAAGUCCAGGGCUCAACCCUGGGAUGCCGGUCGAUACUGCCGGACUAGAGUUCGGAAGAGGCGAGUGGAAUUCCCGGUGUAGCGGUGAAAUGCGCAGAUAUCGGGAGGAACACCAGUGGCGAAGGCGACUACCUGGCCUGUUCUUGACGCUGAGGCGCGAAAGCUAGGGGAGCAAACGGG